Erinaceus europaeus (western European hedgehog) is the source of this 165-nucleotide small nuclear RNA. Its record names the gene U1. It matches the Rfam family "U1 spliceosomal RNA". From Rfam's summary of the family: U1 is a small nuclear RNA (snRNA) component of the spliceosome (involved in pre-mRNA splicing). Lineage: Eukaryota; Metazoa; Chordata; Mammalia; Eulipotyphla; Erinaceidae. The record is from Ensembl.
AAUUAUAACUGCUAAAAGAGAUACCAUGAUCACUUUGAUGGCUUCCUCAGAGUGAGGUUUAUCCAUUGCACACUUAAUGUGCUGGCCCUUGCAAUUUCCAAAAAUGUAGGAAAUUCAGUUACACAUUUUGGAGUAGUCAGGGAUCCAUAUUUGUAUUCUCCCAUG